ACUUAAUUGUUGUAAAUAGGCGGAAUAAGUUACAAGAAAAGAAAAAUCAAAACUUUUGAAUUCAAAAGCACUACACGUGGAAGGAAAAGAAGGAAGCAACGACCGUCUUGCAAGUGUCUCCUUCCACUCAUCUAGUUUAUUCCGUUCUCGGUGGCUACCGCCACAUCUCCUCUUCAGGUUUUGUUGCCGCGCAGUCCGAAGC
Caenorhabditis elegans is the source of this 202-nucleotide non-coding RNA. NCBI's taxonomy places the organism in Eukaryota, Metazoa, Nematoda, Chromadorea, Rhabditida, Rhabditidae. The record is from Ensembl.